GAUGAACGCUGGCGGCGUGCUUAACACAUGCAAGUCGAACGAAGCACUCUAUUUGAUUUUCUUCGGAAAUGAAGAUUUUGUGACUGAGUGGCGGACGGGUGAGUAACGCGUGGGUAACCUGCCUCAUACAGGGGGAUAACAGUUGGAAACGACUGCUAAUACCGCAUAAGCGCACAGGAUCGCAUGAUCCGGUGUGAAAAACUCUGGUGGUAUGAGAUGGACCCGCGUCUGAUUAGCCAGUUGGCAGGGUAACGGCCUACCAAAGCGACGAUCAGUAGCCGACCUGAGAGGGUGACCGGCCACAUUGGGACUGAGACACGGCCCAAACUCCUACGGGAGGCAGCAGUGGGGAAUAUUGCACAAUGGGGGAAACCCUGAUGCAGCGACGCCGCGUGAGCGAAGAAGUAUUUCGGUAUGUAAAGCUCUAUCAGCAGGGAAGAAUUCAUGACGGU
This 452-nucleotide ribosomal RNA is filed under the name uncultured bacterium. RNAcentral's name for it is "bacterial SSU rRNA". It matches the Rfam family "Bacterial small subunit ribosomal RNA", at positions 28 to 476 of the family's 1533-position model. The record is from RNAcentral.